Drosophila melanogaster (fruit fly) is the source of this 723-nucleotide non-coding RNA. NCBI's taxonomy places the organism in Eukaryota, Metazoa, Arthropoda, Insecta, Diptera, Drosophilidae. The record is from Ensembl.
CAUAAACAAAUGCACAAACGAACUCUUUAAACUUUCCGACUAACCAAGGAUAUCCCUAAAUACCAUUUGACAAAUCGAAAAGUUUUCUUUUUGGCCAAACUCUUACACGGCAAACCGUAAGAACGCUCCAAUGAUUCCAAUUCGGUUGUUGGCCCGAAACUUUGUCGGGCUUAAAGUUUAUGACGCAGGUGUUUGCUUUGGAUUAGAGCAGCCGGCAUAAGCGGGCUACAAAAAAGAUGUGGGAUUACCUGGCGUAUGAGCAACUUCUCUGGCCCUGAAGUGUGAGUGCUAUAACAACAUUCCGGUGACCGAGGAAACCUCAGGAUUCAUUUUCCAGCUUUUCAGCACAGCUGACCACAACAAACAGCCUACAAUCUCCCACACGGACAGACAGAUGAGUGGUGGUAUGGUGUGGCUGGUGCGUGUGUGUUUGUGGAUCAUCUGAACCCACCCACACUUGCACACUUAAAACGCUGACAAAACGAUGGCACAAACAUGAAAAUUGUUUUUAAAUUGACGAUGAAAGGCAAAUCCAUGUGUGAACAACUCAAUGGAGCACACACACACCCACACACAAUAAAGGCCUGAUUUCUGGUCUUUUUUCCAUAUUAAGCUGCUCAUUCUUCUUGCGGAUUAAAUCUUCCGUAUGAUAAUUCUGUAAUUUUUAUACACCUGCCAUAGUGUUUGAUCUGCAUUGAGAAUUAAAAAAGGCAAAUAAAUGUU